RNAcentral lists this ribosomal RNA (552 nucleotides) under uncultured bacterium. RNAcentral describes it as "bacterial SSU rRNA". It matches the Rfam family "Bacterial small subunit ribosomal RNA", at positions 355 to 896 of the family's 1533-position model. The record is from RNAcentral.
UAGGGAAUCUUCGGCAAUGGACGAAAGUUCUUGACCGAGCAACCCCGCGUGAGUGAAGAAGGUUUUCGGAUCGUAAAGCUCUGUUGUAAGAGAAGAACGGGUGUGAGAGUGGAAAGUUCACACUGUGACGGUAUCUUACCAGAAAGGGACGGCUAACUACGUGCCAGCAGCCGCGGUAAUACGUAGGUCCCGAGCGUUGUCCGGAUUUAUUGGGCGUAAAGCGAGCGCAGGCGGUUAGAUAAGUCUGAAGUUAAAGGCUGUGGCUUAACCAUAGUACGCUUUGGAAACUGUUUAACUUGAGUGCAGAAGGGGAGAGUGGAAUUCCAUGUGUAGCGGUGAAAUGCGUAGAUAUAUGAAGGAACACCGGUGGCGAAAGCGGCUCUCUGGUCUGUAACUGACGCUGAGGCUCGAAAGCGUGGGGAGCGAACAGGAUUAGAUACCCUGGUAGUCCACGCCGUAAACGAUGAGUGCUAGGUGUUAGGCCCUUUCCGGGGCUUAGUGCCGCAGCUAACGCAUUAAGCACUCCGCCUGGGGAGUACGACCGCAAGGUUG